UUUGAAAAUAAUGCCAUUUGUCCUCACUUU
Molecule: non-coding RNA, 30 nt
Filed under: Mus musculus (house mouse)
Lineage: Eukaryota; Metazoa; Chordata; Mammalia; Rodentia; Muridae
Source: RNAcentral